This 517-nucleotide ribosomal RNA is filed under the name uncultured bacterium. RNAcentral describes it as "bacterial SSU rRNA". It matches the Rfam family "Bacterial small subunit ribosomal RNA", at positions 29 to 518 of the family's 1533-position model. The record is from RNAcentral.
ACGAACGCUGGCGGCGUGCCUAAUACAUGCAAGUCGAACGGUCUUUCUAUGGAAGCUUGCUUCCACUGAGAAGAUAGUGGCGAACGGGUGAGUAACACGUGGGUAACCUGCCCAUAAGAGGGGGAUAACAUCCGGAAACGGGUGCUAAUACCGCAUAGUUUUCUUGAUCGCAUGAUCGGGAAAGGAAAGACGGCCUUUGUGCUGUCGCUUAUGGAUGGACCCGCGGCGUAUUAGUUAGUUGGUGAGGUAACGGCUCACCAAGACGAUGAUACGUAGCCGACCUGAGAGGGUGAUCGGCCACAUUGGGACUGAGGCACGGCCCAAACUCCUACGGGAGGCAGCAGUAGGGAAUCUUCCGCAAUGGACGAAAGUCUGACGGAGCAACGCCGCGUGAGUGAAGAAGGUUUUUUCGGAUCGUAAAACUCUGUUGUCAGAGAAGAACAAGUUGGAGAGUAACUGCUCCAGCCUUGACGGUAUCUGACCAGAAAGCCACGGCUAACUACGUGCCAGCCGCUGC